CCCCCUUCCUGAAUAUACCACCCCCAGGAGUUCUGCCAUACCAGUGUGUGUUUCUCAGAGCUGUGGGUUGGUGUUGAUGGGGAGCUGGGG
This 90-nucleotide microRNA precursor is filed under the name Gallus gallus (chicken). RNAcentral's name for it is "microRNA gga-mir-1658 precursor". Lineage: Eukaryota; Metazoa; Chordata; Aves; Galliformes; Phasianidae. The record is from miRBase by way of RNAcentral.